UUAGAUUGAUUUUUUCUAAUGCUUGAAUUAGCUAUUUAAAGGAUAAUUUUAUAUGUAAAUUUUUGUGUGCUAUUUAAUUUAUCUAAAAGAUAAAAUGAAAUUUUAUUUGCAGUUUUUAUUUUUGUAAAUUUUAUAAGUAAAGAUACAGUUAAUUUAUUUAGAAUUGUUUAAUGUUGUGCCAGCAGACGCGGUUAUACAAUUAAUUCAAGUUAAUUUUUUUGGUUAAUAUUUAUUUUUUUUCUUGGGAUUUAAGAUGAAAUUUAUUAGGUGAAAUUUUAAUUUUAUUUAUAAGUUCUUGGUUAAAUAUUAUGUGAAGUUUAAAUUAUAAACUAGGAUUAGAUACCCUAUUA
RNAcentral lists this ribosomal RNA (350 nucleotides) under Maccevethus errans. RNAcentral's name for it is "partial small subunit ribosomal RNA". Lineage: Eukaryota; Metazoa; Arthropoda; Insecta; Hemiptera; Rhopalidae. The record is from RNAcentral.